UUUCCGUAGGUGAACCUGCGGAAGGAUCAUUAUCAAGUUACAGCGGAGGCGCCCUCGGGUGUCCUCCUGUCUGCAACCCUUGUCUUUUGCGUACUGUAUGUUUCCUCGGUGGGCUCGCCCGCCGAUAGGACAUUCAUAAACCCUUCGUAGUUGCAAUCAGCGUCAGAAAUAACUAUAAUAGUUACAACUUUCAACAACGGAUCUCUUGGUUCUG
This 214-nucleotide unclassified non-coding RNA is filed under the name soil metagenome. Its description in RNAcentral is "partial contains small subunit ribosomal RNA, internal transcribed spacer 1, and 5.8S ribosomal RNA". The record is from RNAcentral.